RNAcentral lists this ribosomal RNA (398 nucleotides) under uncultured archaeon. Its description in RNAcentral is "bacterial SSU rRNA". It matches the Rfam family "Archaeal small subunit ribosomal RNA", at positions 345 to 744 of the family's 1478-position model. The record is from RNAcentral.
AACUUUUACAAUGCUGGAAACAGCGAUAAGGGGACCUCGAGUGCCAGGUUACAAAUCUGGCUGUCGUGAUGCCUAAAAAGCAUUGCAUAGCAAGGCCGGGCAAGACCGGUGCCAGCCGCCGCGGUAACACCGGCGGCUCGAGUGGUAACCGCUAUUAUUGGGUCUAAAGGGUCUGUAGCCGGCCGGAUAAGUCUUUUGGGAAAUCUGGCAGCUUAACUGUCAGGCUGCUAGGGGAUACUGUUUGGCUUGGGACCGGGAGAGGUGAGAGGUACCUUGGGGGUAGGGGUGAAAUCUUGUGAUCCUCGAGGGACCACCAGUGGCGAAGGCGUCUCACCAGAACGGGUCCGACGGUAAGGGACGAAAGCUAGGGGCACGAACCGGAUUAGAUACCCGGGUAG